Ipomoea nil (Japanese morning glory) is the source of this 1213-nucleotide RNA transcript. It is a transcript of the gene named TMV resistance protein N-like, with no coding region annotated. The transcript has 4 exons. NCBI's taxonomy places the organism in Eukaryota, Viridiplantae, Streptophyta, Magnoliopsida, Solanales, Convolvulaceae. The record is from RefSeq and is a predicted model, not a curated record.
AUUUCAUCUAUAUAAACCCCCAGACCAGAAAAGCUAGAGUGCACAAGUGCAUAUAUAGGUGAGUAAAACUACAGUAGUAUUAAGCUAUUCCGUCAUUUCGAUCUACUCUCAUCUUCUCAUCUAUCUCAGCUCACAUCUAAACCAGGUUAUUACAGGAAAAUUAUCUGUUUUCUGCUACAACACUUUCUUAUUUCUCAGCCGCACAGCCCAACCACCAUUUUCCAGAUCCUCCGUCCUCGUCGGAGCACCGUCGUGGUGGUCCGGCGGUGUUUUUGAGUUUUAGAGGAAAAGACACUCGCCGGGGCUUUGUUAAGUCCCUGCACGAGGCUUUGUGUUGUGCAGGGAUCGCAGCGUUCAAAGACGACGUUGAUCUGAAAGGAGGUCGGAUCCAGCGAGGGCUGAUGGAUGCCAUUCACAACUCCUGGGUUUUCAUCCCGGUCAUUUCUUCCAACUAUGCCUCCUCGAAGUGGUGCCUUGAAGAGCUCGCGGAAAUCAUGAAAUGCGUGAAAAUGGAGAAGAGGACUGUUUUUCCGGUGUUUUAUGAUGUUCGGCCGACGGAUGUCCGGCACCUCAAGCCUCCGUUCUCCGCCGCGUUUGCACAGUUUCAGGAUUGCCGGAAGGUGAAGGUAUGGAAGCGUGCCCUAAGUGAAGUAGCCGACUUUUCGGGAUUUGACCUCAUCGACACCUACCAGAGCUAUUAUGAGCUUCUCCGUCAAAACUCGGGACUUACUCUGAUACCAAUUGUCCAUCCUCAACUGCAUGCUCAUCAUCUUAUAACUGUGUCACGAUUUCAAUGGCAGAAUAUUGAACUCGACUCUCCAAGUCAUCGUCUAACAUGAAGCUCAGCUCAGUCUUACUUUCUUCUACCCAAUGCAACCUCCAGCUGCCUGCAGGGUACAUACUUCAAUUCUUUUCUUCACCACCGGCGCGCCGCCGCUUCUGGCCUCGCCGCCAUGGUGCCGCCGCUUUCGGCCUCGUCGACAUCCCGGCCUGCACCGCCUCCAGGCCAUAACUAUAUCUCAAGUCUCUGCUAAGCAUGAAAUAAACCGAAACUAUACUAUAAGGCCGGCCAUCACGUACUACUAUAUCUCUGAUCUCAACUUCAACAUGGCCUUAUAGUAUUUCUUUAUUAUUAAUAUAACGCAGGGAUGAAGCGAAAUGCAUUGAAGAUAUAGCCCAAGUAGUCGGGAAGAAAGUUGAAGCAUUAAAGAGA